Molecule: long non-coding RNA, 2229 nt
Organism: Oreochromis niloticus (Nile tilapia)
Lineage: Eukaryota; Metazoa; Chordata; Actinopteri; Cichliformes; Cichlidae
Exons: 2
Source: RefSeq, a predicted model, not a curated record
AUUGGAUUUGGAUCUCCACAUCGUUGGUGGGAGAAGGUUAUCAGAAUGGCUUCAAAAUUUGCGACCACAAUUGGCGACCACGAAGGGACAAGGAAUUAAGGUGAUUGCUGGGAGCCUUGGGGAAUGCCAAAGCCUUGCACAUCAGAGAACACCAAGCGGCCGCUACAAUAAGCAUCACUCUGGGACAGGACUUUAGAGAUCUUGCAGAAAUUGAAGAAAGCAGUCCUGUAAAAGCACAUAUUAGUGCAUAUUGGGAUUUAAAAAAUUACUCCAAGAAACCUCACAGUGUUAAUGGAGACCAAGAUAAUGCCAUUCAGAGCAUUCCUUUAGGUUGACUGACAGGUGUGUGUUGUUUGGCUUCAUGGAUGAAUGAGAGAGAGGGUGUCAUCAGCAUGGCAGAGGUAUGUUGUGUCUUUUGUGGUGUUACCUGAAGGAGGCAUGUGUUAUGUAAACAGAAAUAGAUCCUGGUGUGAAACCUUGUGAAGCUCAAUGGUUAGUCUUGUGUAUGUGGGAGGAUUCUUAGAAUAACAUGUUAUGGUCACAAGUAUCGAACAUAGAGAUCAAUCCACUGUCAGAGGCCUUAAGAAGAUCAUUUUUAACUUUCACCAAAGCUGUCUCUAUACUGUGAUGUGCUCUGAAACCUGACUGAAACUCUUUAAAUAAGGCAUUCCUCUGUGACUAUUUUACAGCAUCUCUUGUGGGGAUUUUUGACAUAAAGGAAAGUUGGAGAUUGGCCUAUAAUUGGCUAGGACAGUUAGGUCAAGUGAUGGUUUUUGAGUGAUGGUUUAACUACUGCCAACAUGAAGAACUGUGUGGUCAGUGUGGCAUUGUCUAACUUAGCUUUGAAAAUUCUGAUUCGGCAGCUAUAGAGGUGUGGGAAGUUUGAUCAGUCAUAUAGCCAGCAACGCUAAGUAGAGGGCUAAAAGUGUUAAUGAUGAAAUGUGAAUUGGCCGGUGACAGAGUUAAUGUUUAUCUAAAUUCAGCAUAUAAAUUUGACAUGUGCUCAAAUAGUGUUUAAGAACAAAGAGGAUCUUAUAGAAGCCAACAGAUCCCCAAUAAUGUAUUGUAUGAAGAAGCAGUAACUCAGCUACUAGUCGCCCUAAAGCUCCCUGGUCCUGUGGCUGUGAUUAGAUGUCUUGAUCACCAGAAAACAGACACAUGAAUAGGUAAAUGAAACAACUUGUGGCAGCUUUACUAUGCACUUCCUAAAUUAGUAGCUAUGUAAAGAUAAGUAAAGCUUUCUCUUUAUAACAGCAUUUGAGACAAACAUUUCAAGGUGCUUCACAAAAUAAAGCAAUGAAUUGGAAUUUGUUAAGGAAGAGGUCAACUGGGUACAAAUAUUAACUCUAGUACUAAGGUGCAUGCAGUUGUGAACUAACAAGACUACAACAACUAACACUGCAUGGCAUACUCACAAAUGUCCAUAGAUAAGUCCUCACAAAGGGCCUGUAUUGCUAACUGUGAACAAAACUAAUGCACUCUGCAAAGUUAUCUUUCUGCAGGUGGAGAUGGCAUCCGGAUAACAGACGGAGAUGCAGAGGUCCUGGAGCAGGUGCUGGCGAUCUGAUGACGAGUGUGAGGGGACAACGGAGUGAAACAGGCUGCUCCAGACAGCUGAGCCAUGACCCAUCCAGUAGCUGUUGAACCUGCUGCAGAGCCUACAGCCCAGGUGGAGCCGUACAGUGCCCAAACCAGCUUCCGAAUGAUGGAUGUGCAAGAUCAACUACUACCCAUCGCCGACCCUGACUUUAAUCAAGAGUAGGACCAAGUCGUCUCGAGUAUUCUUAGAAGCUAUGCAAGAUCCAGCAGUCAAGAAGUACCAAGAGAGACUUUUCUCGGACUCAUAAAUUGGUUGAAAUAUGGACUGAAAAAGGGACACAAGUUGAGUAAAGGUUGAAGCUGCUGCAGAGAAAUGUCAACCUUGAAGCUAACAAAGGACAUUUCAAAGCCCACACUGAGAAGUCUGUUCAGAAGAAGUUGCACCUGACCAAGAUGAAACCCAAAACUUAGAAUUAAUUGUUUAAUUGUGUUAUUUUUAAUGUCACUAAUGGUGUUGUGUAAUCCAUGUAUGUAUUAUGUGUCUCUGCUGAUGUGUUUUAUGCCUUACUUUCAUUUUCCUGUAAUUAGGCUGAUUUUUAAGUUUCUUGAGUAUUCUGUUUAGGAUACUGUGUAGUAUGAUUUGCAAAUGAAGAUGAAUCAAUUUGUCUUAAAUUAAUUGACUAAGAGAAA